AUUGAACGCUGGCGGCAGGCCUAACACAUGCAAGUCGAGCGGAUGAAGGGAGCUUGCUCCUGGAUUCAGCGGCGGACGGGUGAGUAAUGCCUAGGAAUCUGCCUGGUAGUGGGGGAUAACGUCCGGAAACGGGCGCUAAUACCGCAUACGUCCUGAGGGAGAAAGUGGGGGAUCUUCGGACCUCAUGCUAUCAGAUGAGCCUAGGUCGGAUUAGCUAGUUGGUGGGGUAAAGGCCUACCAAGGCGACGAUCCGUAACUGGUCUGAGAGGAUGAUCAGUCACACUGGAACUGAGACACGGUCCAGACUCCUACGGGAGGCAGCAGUGGGGAAUAUUGGACAAAGGGCGAAAGCCUGAUCCAGCCAUGCCGCGUGUGUGAAGAAGGUCUUCGGAUUGUAAAGCACUUUAAGUUGGGAGGAAGGGCAGUAAGUUAAUACCUUGCUGUUUUGACGUUACCAGCAGAAUAAGCACCGGCUAACUUCGUG
This 484-nucleotide ribosomal RNA is filed under the name uncultured bacterium. Its description in RNAcentral is "partial 16S ribosomal RNA". It matches the Rfam family "Bacterial small subunit ribosomal RNA", at positions 30 to 507 of the family's 1533-position model. The record is from RNAcentral.